UGAACGCUGGCGGUAUGCUUAAUACAUGCAAGUCGUACGAGGGCUUUUAGCCUUAGUGGCGGACGGGUGAGUAACACGUGAGAAUCUGCCCUUAGGAGGAGGAUAACAGCUGGAAACGGUUGCUAAUACUCCAUAUGCCGAGAGGUGAAAGGAUUUAUCCACCUAAGGAGGAGCUCGCGUCUGAUUAGCUAGUUGGUAGGGUAAUGGCCUACCGAGGCGACGAUCAGUAGCUGGUUUGAGAGGAUGAUCAGCCACACUGGGACUGAGACACGGCCCAGACUCCUACGGGAGGCAGCAGUAGGGAAUUUUCCGCAAUGGGCGAAAGCCUGACGGAGCAAUACCGCGUGAGGGAUGACGGCCUGUGGGUUGUAAACCUCUUUUCUCAAGGAAGAAGUUCUGACGGUACUUGAGGAAUAAGCAUCGGCUAACUCUGUGCCAGCAGCCGCGGUAAUCUGAUGGCGCGAGG
RNAcentral lists this ribosomal RNA (466 nucleotides) under uncultured bacterium. RNAcentral describes it as "bacterial SSU rRNA". It matches the Rfam family "Bacterial small subunit ribosomal RNA", at positions 30 to 539 of the family's 1533-position model. The record is from RNAcentral.